ACAUGUUAUUUUCGUAUAAAUUCAUUUUUUUUCUUUUCUGUUCUUUUUAACUCUUCUCUUUUUUUCUGAUCCACCUUGUUCAAAUUCAUGCAACCUUGCCCACUCCCCCUCAACUCCAGUCCAAAAUAUUCAAAAUGGUCGCCGCCUGGAUUGCUGGUGGAAGCGAUUCUCAUGAUAAUUCUUAUCUCAGUGAUUCGGUAAUUGUUACAUUUUUCGUGGAUUGUUCUAUGAUAGCACUAUUAGAGUAUCUGUCUGUCUGGUAUUUCAUUUUUACCAUAACACUUUGCGACCAACUUGAAAAAGAAAUUGGAUGGCUGUAAAGUGUAAAGAAGAGUUUACUUCAUAUGAGAUAUUUUUGGUCUUUAUUCUUAAAGUAAUAUCUUCAACUUAAGGUUUCGUGUGUCAUGGGUGCUUGUGACAAUAAAGAUGAAAUUGUCCAAUUCAAGCUUGUGUCUUACAAAACUAAGAAAAUUCUAUUUGCAAGGUAGAAAACCUUUCUGACAAAACAUGGUUUUCCAGUUGUUGCUGAAUGGAUUGUUUUCGGGUUAGUUCCCAUGUCUAAAGACAAAUCCUAGCCCACAACUCACCAAGAGGAUACUUUCGACAUAUUUAUGUCGAUACUUUGUAUGCAGAGGUACUGUGCAAUGUUUAUUAAUUAUUUUUCAAUUACCAUUGUAGAGUUGAACCUACAGACGGGCCGGCCAGUUUGCAUGUUCUUCACGCUUGAAGGGAACAUAUCGUGUAAAACUGUAAAUGCGGUGUUGUAGAGGUUGGGUGAGAAUGAAACGUGUUGCAUCAUUAUCAAGCAGGUAUUCA
Daphnia pulex (common water flea) is the source of this 816-nucleotide long non-coding RNA. RefSeq lists it as uncharacterized. NCBI's taxonomy places the organism in Eukaryota, Metazoa, Arthropoda, Branchiopoda, Diplostraca, Daphniidae. The transcript is spliced from 3 exons. The record is from RefSeq and is a predicted model, not a curated record.